This 253-nucleotide ribosomal RNA is filed under the name uncultured bacterium. RNAcentral describes it as "partial 16S ribosomal RNA". It matches the Rfam family "Bacterial small subunit ribosomal RNA", at positions 524 to 776 of the family's 1533-position model. The record is from RNAcentral.
UACGUAGGGUGCAAGCGUUGUCCGGAAUUAUUGGGCGUAAAGAGCUCGUAGGUGGCCUGUCGCGUCGGCUGUGAAAACUCGGGGCUCAACUCCGAGCUUGCAGUCGAUACGGGCAGGCUAGAGUUCGGCAGGGGAGACUGGAAUUCUCGGUGUAGCGGUGAAAUGCGUAGAUAUCGAGAGGAACACCUGCGGCGAAGGCGGGUUGCUGGGCUGACACUGACGCUGAUGCGCGAAAGCCAGGGGAGCGAACGGG